CUCUAUCUCGUCUGGUUCUAAUUCAAUAAUGUGGUUCGGGUCUUUCACAUAUUUACGUAACAUAGAUAUGUGAAAAACGUUAUGAACACGAGACAUACUUGGCGGUAAGACGAGUCUAUAGGCCACAGUUCCUACUCGAUUGAGGAUUAAAAAUGGACCAAUGAAUCGAGGGUUUAGCUUUCCUCUCUUUCCAAAUCUCGUAACUCCCUUCCAUGGAGCAACAUGUAACAACACAUGUUCUCCAAUAUCAAAUUUCACGUCCUUUUGAUGAAGAUCAGCAUAACUCUUAUGUCGAUCUUGUGAGAUUUUUAUACGUUGUAGGAUCGUUUAAAUCUUUUCCGUAGUCAUACGUACCAACUCCGGUCCCAACAACAUUGCUUCAUCCACUUCAUCUCAGCAUACUGGAGAACGACACUUUCUUCCAUACAACGCCUCAAAUGGAGCCAUGCCAAUACUUGCUUGAUAACUGUUGUUGUAGGAAAACUCCAACAAUGGUAAGAACUUGUCCCAACUUCCUUUGAAGUCAAGGACACAGAGUCUUAAUAAAUCUUCAAGUUUGAAUAGUCCUCUCCGACUGCCCGUCCAUCUGAGGAUGAUAUGUCGAGCUAAAUCGUAAAUCCGUGCACUUAGCUUUUUGCAAACUAACCCAAAAUCUUGAAGUGAAUCUUGGGUCUCGAUCAGAAACUAUAGAUACCGGCAUACCAUGCAGUCUUACAAUCUCGUUUAUGUACAUACGAGCAAGACGUUCAAGUGUAUAAUUUUCUCGUAUAGGUAGGAAAUGAGCAGACUUGAUCAAUCUAUCAACAAUGAUCCAAAUUGCAUCUAUGCCUUGAGAAACCUUGGGAAGACAUGGACCUUUUGGUACUUGAUGCUCCACCUUGACUCGUUGACAAGUUAAACACCUUGAGAUAAACUCCGUUAUCUCUCUUUUCAUAUUGCUCCACCAAAAUGUAUGUCGAAGAUCACGAUACAUUUUGGUACUCCCAUGAUGGAUUACAAACGGUGUGUUGUGCGCCUGCAUCAUGAUUUUAUACUUUAAAUCAGGGUUGUUAGGAACACAAAGUCUGGAGUUGACUCGAAGUAUUCCUUCUUCAUCGAUUCUUGCUUCCGGCAUAGCACCUUCUUGCACUUUCUUCCUCAUACGCAUCAGCUCUAGGUCUGUAGCUUGAGCAGCUUUAACUUUAUCGAAUAAAGUCGGUUCUACUCGUAUAUUCGCCAUCAUCAUAUGGGUCCCUGGAGUCUUUAACUCUAUCUCCAUCCUUUGUAAGUCAUAUAAAAUGGGCCUUUGCGUUGAUAAUAAUGCACUCGUACCCGCAUAUGAUCUUCUACUCAAUGCAUCAGCUACUACGUUCACUUUUCCAGGAUGGUAUUGAAUGGUAUGAUUGUAAUCUUUCAACAACUCAAGCCAUCGUCGUUGCCGCAUGUUGAGUUCCUUUUGAGUGAAGAAAUAUUUGAGGCUUUUAUGAUCCAUAUAGAUCUCCACCUUCUCUCCAUACAGGUAAUGCCUCCAAAUCUUAAGCGCAAAAUGACUGCUGCCAACUCUAGAUCAUGAGUACGAUAAUUCCUCUGAUAUUCUUUGAGUUGUCGUGAGUCAUAGGCUAUGACUUUCCCAUGUUGCAUGAGAACACAUCCUAACCCAUUGCAUGAAACAUCACUGUAGAUGACAAAUCCCUCUAAGCCAGAUGGUAUUGUCAAAACAGGGGCUGAAAUGAGUCUCCUCUAGAGUUCCUGAAAACUCUUCUCACAUUCCUCGCUCUAACCGAAUUUAUAUCUUUUCGAGUCAGCUUAGUUAAUGGAGUAGCGAUUCGAGAAAACCCUUCUACGAAUCUCCGAUAAUAACCAGCUAAGCCAAGAAAGCUACGUACUUCGGUCACUGAUUUAGGUUGCUUCCAGCUUUGAAUUUCUUCAAUCUUUGUCGGGUCAACAUAUAUCCCAUGAUUUGAUAUAACGUGUGACGCCCCCAAAAUAGGUAUACAUCACCUAUUCUGAGUCGCCAAAUACAUGGUAUAGAAUACAAAUACAACCUUAAAUAUACAACAUGAGCUGUGAGUUUUAAUACAAAUAUUAUCUUCUAGACAGUAUUCAAACUCAAAAUAAGUCCUCAAUACAUUUAUUAUCACACUAUUUCAUAGAAUAGUGAGGACUACUAAUGCUAUCAUCUGGACCGUCACUCCGUUCCCCGACUAGUCCCUGCUACGUUCUCAUUUCCUGAAGAAAACAAUGGAAGCAAAAGGGUGAGCUCAAUUAGCCCAGUAAGAAAUAUUAUAACUAAGAUAAUGCAGAAUAAUUUAUCAUUAGUCUUCAACAGGAUUAAACUGAUAAAAUAUAACAAACAUCAAGUUUAACUACAGCGAAAUAAGCAAUCCAUUAGAAGAGUCAAGUAGAGAAUAAAAUCUACUGUCUUCUAUGAUUUAAAAAGUUUUUCAUUAACUUUUAUCGCUGAGACUCAGCUUAAUAAAUAAUCCACAUCAUCCCUGAACUACGGCCAAGGAUAUUCAUUAGUAUCACAACCACAAAUUAUCCAUGUGCACUACGGGCCAAGGAUAUUCGUGUAUUCAUCAAUAGUCAUGAUCAUGCCAACAACUGUCCAUCAAUGCACUACGGGCCAAUGAGGACUUUUACCACAUCAUUUAUAACAUUACGGUCAUGAUUAUACCGAAUAAUCCCUAGUCAUAAUCAUACCAAGUCUAUCUAUGCACUACAGGCCAUAGAUGACUUUCAACAUAAUAUAAACAUGAGGAUGAUGACAAUGAUAUAAGAAUUCAAUAAAACAAGUUCAAGAAUUAAUUUAUCCAUGAACAAAUAACGUCUAAAUUAUCAACAUGAUACUUCUUUGUAGAGUAAAAUUCAAGAAUGCUCGGAAGAAUAUUUCCAUGAAAAGAUACUAGAUGAAGCGCAAAUAUCAAGGAUAUUCCACUAAUUUCAUGGAGUAUAGAAGAUAAAACUUUAACCAACUGAGUAUAAUAAAGAAUGGAAUAACAAAAUAAUAAAUAACGGAACCAGGUCAUGCGUAAAUGCACAGACAGGAUAUUCCAACAGAAUAAUAAAUAAUGGAACCAGGUCAUGCGUAAAUGCACAGACAGGAUAUUCCAACAGAAUAAUAAAUAAUGGAACCAGGUCAUGCGUAAAUGCACAGACAGGAUAUUCCAACAGAAUAAUAAACAACGAAACCAGGCCAUGAGUAAACGCACAGACAAGAUUUUCCAACAGAAUAAUAAAGAAUGGAAUAACAGAAGAAUUUCACCAUGUAUGCAGUACUUUGCAUAGACAGGUUAUUCCAACAUAAUAAUAAAGAAUGGAAUAACAGAAGAAUUUCACCAUGUAUAGGGUAGCCCGCGUAUACAGGUUAUUCCAACAGAAUAAUAAAGAAUGGAAUAACAGAAGUUCUCUGCAUGAAUAAUAAAGAAAGAAUACCCCUUACGAGUACAACAAAUAAUAUGCCUUACCGUAAAAGAAAAGUAUUUCGACUGGUAGGGCGAGAAUAUUCUUGAAGAAAACUUGCACUACGCUCAAAGUUUCUUAAAACUCUAAAGAAAUACGCUCAAGAUUAUAAAAGAAUUCUCUGAACUUCUAGUGUGAUUUUCAAUUCUAACUAAGCGUCCUAUU
Molecule: long non-coding RNA, 3606 nt
Filed under: Panax ginseng (ginseng)
Lineage: Eukaryota; Viridiplantae; Streptophyta; Magnoliopsida; Apiales; Araliaceae
Description: long non-coding RNA (PGIN_LNC018298)
Source: RNAcentral